Molecule: long non-coding RNA, 1319 nt
Organism: Cyprinus carpio carpio
Lineage: Eukaryota; Metazoa; Chordata; Actinopteri; Cypriniformes; Cyprinidae
Source: Ensembl
CUGCUCUCGACGGAGCGGAAUGCGCGGCUUGCGAGAGCUUUUUGAUGAAAAAGCUCCGUUCACGCUUGUCCCUUUUCUCGAGGGAAUUAGGACAAGUGUCGGCGCCGCGUGGUUCAGGACCUGCUGCAGCCGAGGCACAGCGGAGACUGAGAUCGUGGGGCUCACAGGUCGAGCUGGCGGAGGAUUUCUAACGAGAGAGCAGCGUGUGACCGCCAGCCCCACAAGCCACGGGAGAGCACGGCCCCACACUGCACCAGCGCACUGACAGCCAAGACGCCGAGCACCGAGCACCAAACUGCCUCACAGCAACGCCUAUCACCACCCUUCCUAUUUAGUAAAAUCCACCCUUUGGGGAACUUACCCUCAUCCUCAAGUCGUGUCCUCCUUCACCCCGCCACACUGGUGGAGAAUGCGGGCAGGACAGUGAAGAGGACACCGACGAUCCCACCCCGCACCGUGUGCUACGAAUUGGACUGGUUUGGAUUGACUUUUUGUUUUUUUUCCCACAUUACUUACCUCACGUGAUUUUUCUGGUUCCCCAGGUGGCGCUCCUCCCCCAACGAUGGAAGAGCUGUUGAAAUGCCUCACCGAGGUGAGCAUCCACCAGCAGCAAAUCGUGGAGCACAUGGCCACCCAGCAGGGGGAAACCGAACGUGAGUUGGCCGCGCUCCGGCUCGCCACAGCCCCGCGAACUCUGCUACCUGACCCCCGUGUCCAGGCAACCCAGCUGCUGCCCCAGAUGACGGCCCACGAUGAUGUGACGAUGUACCUCCAGAUGUUUGAGACCGUAGCCUUUCGGGAGGCAUGGCCCAAGGAAGAAUGGGCGCACAUAGUGGCACCGCUGCUCACGGGAGAGGCUCAGCGAGCGUACUUCGCGCUUCCUUCGGAACAAAGCACCUCCUACGAGGAUUUACGGAAGUAGAUCCUAGGAUGGAUGGGGUUGUCUCCGAUCAGCGCUGCCCAGCUGUUUAAGGAAUGGACCUUCGACCCUCGGCAGCCAACCCGGGCCCAAGCCGCUAGCCUCUCCCGUUUGGCCCAGCACUGGUUGCUGGCCGGGGGUCCCACCGUACACCAGGUAGCGGACCGCGUCGUGGUCGACCGCCUCUUACGUGCUCUUCCCCGCCCGCUGCAGCAGGCCGCCAGCAUGCGGAACCCGGCCAAUGUGGAUGAACUCGUCGAGGCCAUAGAGCUGGCGGAGGCCACCCAACACCGGGAGGUAGGGGAGAGAGCGCCGCCGUUUCCCCGGAGGGUGGUCCAGGAGCGACGCACUCCGGAGGGCACCCAGCGUCCAGUGAGCAGGCCGGCGGUUCCCAGCCCAC